This 359-nucleotide ribosomal RNA is filed under the name Escherichia coli N36410PS. Its description in RNAcentral is "bacterial LSU rRNA". It matches the Rfam family "Bacterial large subunit ribosomal RNA", at positions 1570 to 1911 of the family's 2925-position model. Lineage: Bacteria; Pseudomonadati; Pseudomonadota; Gammaproteobacteria; Enterobacterales; Enterobacteriaceae. The record is from RNAcentral.
GAGGCACUACGGUGCUGAAGCAACAAAUGCCCUGCUUCCAGGAAAAGCCUCUAAGCAUCAGGUAACAUCAAAUCGUACCCCAAACCGACACAGGUGGUCAGGUAGAGAAUACCAAGGCGCUUGAGAGAACUCGGGUGAAGGAACUAGGCAAAAUGGUGCCGUAACUUCGGGAGAAGGCACGCUGAUAUGUAGGUGAAGUCCCUCGCGGAUGGAGCUGAAAUCAGUCGAAGAUACCAGCUGGCUGCAACUGUUUAUUAAAAACACAGCACUGUGCAAACACGAAAGUGGACGUAUACGGUGUGACGCCUGCCCGGUGCCGGAAGGUUAAUUGAUGGGGUUAGCGCAAGCGAAGCUCUUGA